This 253-nucleotide ribosomal RNA is filed under the name uncultured bacterium. Its description in RNAcentral is "partial 16S ribosomal RNA". It matches the Rfam family "Bacterial small subunit ribosomal RNA", at positions 524 to 776 of the family's 1533-position model. The record is from RNAcentral.
UACAGAGGUCUCAAGCGUUGUUCGGAUUCAUUGGGCGUAAAGGGUGCGUAGGCGGCGCGGUAAGUCGGGUGUGAAAUCUCGGAGCUUAACUCCGAAACUGCAUUCGAUACUGCCGUGCUUGAGGACUGGAGAGGAGACUGGAAUUUACGGUGUAGCGGUGAAAUGCGUAGAUAUCGUAAGGAAGACCGGUGGCGAAGGCGGUUCUCUGGGCCUUACCUGACGCUGAGGAGCGAAAGCGUGGGGAGCGAACAGG